Molecule: small nuclear RNA, 105 nt
Organism: Otolemur garnettii (small-eared galago)
Lineage: Eukaryota; Metazoa; Chordata; Mammalia; Primates; Galagidae
Source: Ensembl
GCUCUCACCUUAAGUACAUAUACUAAAGUUGGAACGGUACAGAGAAGAUAAGCAUAGCCCCUGUGCAAAGAUGAUGUACAAAUGCAUGAAGCAUUCCAUAUUUAU